CCACCUCGGCCCCCCAAAGUGUUGGGAUUACAGGCGUGAGCCACUGCACUUGGCUCCAUAGUUUCUUUUAACCAGCUUACAUAAAGAUGUGAGUGCAAAAACUUGUGAUUUACCAUGACUGUUGCCAUAUGUCCUCAGUCUCCUCAUUCCAGGACAGCUGCCCCACAAGCCACUGCCAGGGUCUUUCACCAAGUUUGUGCCAGGGCAUCUCUCUAAGUUGCUUUCUCCAAAACUGCAGGAGCCUGCUUAACGUUUUUCAUGCAUGACACAGAAUUUCAGGGGAGUUAACACCCUCGGAAGCAACCCUCAACUAAAAAUGUCAUAUGGUUGGAAUGUCAUAUGGUAUGGACAUACAAACUGAAAAAAAAAAGAGAGGGGUAGGAAGAGAGGACCCUUAAGAUAACUACGAGCCACAGGGUCUACCACUUCACUCCAGGGAUGAUGAGAGGCAUUAAGUGAAGAAGGGAUGUGACUCAGUAGCUUUGAAAAAUUCAGAACACUCAGUUGACCUCUGAUAGCAAGGGUGUAGCACUGGCCUAAAUGGCACCAAGAACUUGGGUGUCUCUGGGAUGUAGCAGUGCUGGCCAGAGGAGGUCAGCUCUAAAAUAACCUGACAUGGAAGGGUUUCCUGGUAUGACCCUGAACUUGACCAUUGCUCAACUGUGAGCACUCUGGGAGCAGGAUUCGAGUCUGUGUCUAUCUGUCCUUUUUCUCUACACCAUGCUGCCUGUAACUGUGUGUAUAUUUGUUUUAUCCUUCCAACUAAGGUAUUCAUAUUUACAUCUGUUUCUAUUUCUAUGAUACAACAAUGGGCAGAAUUUUCUUUUCUUUUUUUUUUUUUUUUU
RNAcentral lists this long non-coding RNA (845 nucleotides) under Homo sapiens (human). RNAcentral describes it as "HSALNT0403695". The record is from RNAcentral. Lineage: Eukaryota; Metazoa; Chordata; Mammalia; Primates; Hominidae.